GUAGUCAUAUGCUUGUCUCAAAGAUUAAGCCAUGCAUGUCUAAGUAUAAGCAAUUAUACCGUGAAACUGCGAAUGGCUCAUUAAAUCAGUUAUCGUUUAUUUGAUAGUACCUUACUACUUGGAUAACCGUGGUAAUUCUAGAGCUAAUACAUGCUGAAAACCCCAACUUCGGGAGGGGUGUAUUUAUUAGAUAAAAAACCAACGCCCUUCGGGGCUUCUUGGUGAUUCAUGAUAACUUUACGGAUCGCAUGGCCUUGCGCCGGCGACGGUUCAUUCAAAUUUCUGCCCUAUCAACUUUCGAUGGUAAGGUAUUGGCUUACCAUGGUUUCAACGGGUAACGGGGAAUUAGGGUUCGAUUCCGGAGAGGGAGCCUGAGAAACGGCUACCACAUCCAAGGAAGGCAGCAGGCGCGCAAAUUACCCAAUCCCGACACGGGGAGGUAGUGACAAUAAAUACUGAUACAGGGCUCUUUUGGGUCUUGUAAUUGGAAUGAGUACAAUUUAAACCUCUUAACGAGGAACAAUUGGAGGGCAAGUCUGGUGCCAGCAGCCGCGGUAAUUCCAGCUCCAAUAGCGUAUAUUAAAGUUGUUGCAGUUAAAAAGCUCGUAGUUGAAACUUGGGUCUGGCUGGCAGGUCCGCCUCACCGCGUGUACUUGUCCGGCCGGGCCUUCCUUCUGGAGAACCUCAUGCCCUUCACUGGGCGUGUUGGGGACCAGGACUUUUACUUUGAAAAAAUUAGAGUGUUCAAAGCAGGCCUUUGCUCGAAUACGUUAGCAUGGAAUAAUAGAAUAGGACGUGCGGUUCUAUUUUGUUGGUUUCUAGGACCGCCGUAAUGAUUAAUAGGGACAGUCGGGGGCAUCAGUAUUCAAUUGUCAGAGGUGAAAUUCUUGGAUUUAUUGAAGACUAACUACUGCGAAAGCAUUUGCCAAGGAUGUUUUCAUUAAUCAGUGAACGAAAGUUAGGGGAUCGAAGACGAUCAGAUACCGUCGUAGUCUUAACCGUAAACUAUGCCGACUAGGGAUCGGGCGAUGUUCUUUUUUUUGACUCGCUCGGCACCUUACGAGAAAUCAAAGUUUUUGGGUUCUGGGGGGAGUAUGGUCGCAAGGCUGAAACUUAAAGGAAUUGACGGAAG
Molecule: ribosomal RNA, 1132 nt
Filed under: Cucurbitaria sp. 178155
Lineage: Eukaryota; Fungi; Ascomycota; Dothideomycetes; Pleosporales; Cucurbitariaceae
Description: SSU rRNA
Rfam family: Eukaryotic small subunit ribosomal RNA
Source: RNAcentral